Long non-coding RNA from Phalaenopsis equestris, 860 nucleotides. RefSeq lists it as uncharacterized. The record is from RefSeq and is a predicted model, not a curated record. The transcript has 3 exons. Lineage: Eukaryota; Viridiplantae; Streptophyta; Magnoliopsida; Asparagales; Orchidaceae.
CAAGCUACGAGCCGAACACGACAACUUACUGUUGCCAACAACGAGCUUUUUUUUGACAGCCCUAACUGUAACGCGCGGUCGCGACGAUCGGGAACAGGGAGGCGGAUCGGGCUCCAGCUUUCCACCUCCACCUGGUUACGUGGAAAUCCCGACGUCGCACACAGGCCGAAUGAAAGAGAAGUGUGACAGCUGAAGGAAGGCUGAGAACGGGAAAGACGAAUUUGAACAUUUGAUUUUUAUUCUGUCUGCCAAUUCCCUUGUGAAUAUCUCCUAUCAGAUCAAAUACAGGGGCUCUAAUUGCAAUAAUGACUAGUGAUGAGUCGACAUUCACAGAAACUUUGGCCGGACUAUAAUUUCACGAUCUCGAGUUACUUGCGAUGUUUUAAGUAGCGUUCGAAGAGGUGUUGAUUUGAGAACAAAUCUUUUUGAAGCGGGGAAGAAUGAUUCAAAUGGAGCUACACUCAAGCAUGAUGGACGUUAAAUACCUUUGUCUCUUCCAAGUGUGCAAGUCACAAGACCUAGAGCUAGAAAGCUUUAAAUGAGCCAGCCCAACAAGUUGGCGAAUUAACUUACACAUGGAGGCUCAACAAGAAUCCACAACAAACCCAAGUGCCUAAUCAAUGUGAUUAAGACUCUAGAAGGGUUUCCUUAAGAACAUAUUUUUUAGCCAUUCUUGAAAGCCAACUUGUCAGAUUCACGAAUUUGGAAAGCACGUCUGUUUUAGAGCGACAUGUGGGCCCCAUAUCACUAAGGUCUUUUUAUCAAAUUUUUAUUAUAUUUGUUAUGUAAUGUUCGAAUUCCUUAGCUUAGUGAUUCUGUUUUAUUUAAGCAUGUAAAUUUGGAUAUUUUCCUUUUUUUUC